Triticum aestivum (bread wheat) is the source of this 825-nucleotide long non-coding RNA. RefSeq lists it as uncharacterized. The record is from RefSeq and is a predicted model, not a curated record. Lineage: Eukaryota; Viridiplantae; Streptophyta; Magnoliopsida; Poales; Poaceae. The transcript has 3 exons.
GUGGAUAUCCCAAUUAACUGAAGAAACGUGUCAUCUUUUGGUAGGCUGUGAACAAUGUCAUUAUUCUUAUUGAUCAGUACUUAUUGCGAAGGAUCCAGCUGAUUACUUAAUAGUCGGACAACUUAAUGUGUCAUUGUGCAACCAAAAGGACUCCGCCGAUCUUUGUGUCAACGUCAAAGACCUCUAGAUCCUAUUUCUGCCAUUGUUGGAACCUGCACUACUGACCUCCUCCAUUACCAACGACCAACACUAUGGCACAUAUGAAAGUAAGUUGACAAACUCUAACUCCAUAAUCCAGAUUAUAUACUCACCAAAAUGAGGACUGUGUUCCUCCGAAUUCAGGAAAAAAAAUUGUUGUACAAUUAGCUAUUUACAAAACAAUGGGUAGCUGCCACUUGAUUGUCUGAAAUAGACAGUCAAUUUGUAGUAUGCUUCAAUUCUAAAAGUAACAUUUUUAGCCUGCAGGUUACUUUUGUAAGAAAAUUUCUUUUAAAUUAUUUCUAUCUAGAAGGGAGAAUUCUGCCUUUGGUGAUCAUUAGUUUGAAUGUUAGCAAAUAUAUAUAGAGAUCUAGAUGGAUACGAGUUUUUUUAAUCAUGUAACACUGCGUUCAACUAUAUCUGCUAUUGACUGUAGUACAGUUUUUCUUCUCUUCCUUGACAUACCCAACAUUAACCAGUUUUUCUUGUUUAUGUAAUUUUGUGCUAACGAGAGUAAGAAGAAGAAGACUUAGCUUUGAUUCCAGUUUUUGGUGCUCUUUGUGUUGAUAAAUUUGUUACACUACAGUACUGAUAAUUCGUAUAGCAAUUGUAUUACCAGACAAGCGG